RNAcentral lists this ribosomal RNA (774 nucleotides) under uncultured Neocallimastigales. Its description in RNAcentral is "partial large subunit ribosomal RNA". It matches the Rfam family "Eukaryotic large subunit ribosomal RNA", at positions 20 to 616 of the family's 3401-position model. The record is from RNAcentral. Lineage: Eukaryota; Fungi; Neocallimastigomycota; Neocallimastigomycetes; Neocallimastigales.
UACUAGAGUAGCACUCGCAUAUCAAUAAGCGGAGGAAAAGAAACUAACAAGGAUUCCCCUAGUAACGGCGAGUGAAGCGGGAAGAGCUCAAAUUUGAAAUCUUAAAGGGUUUCCCUUUACGAAUUGUAGUUUAAAGAAGUGUCUUCUGUUGAGGUUUUGGUAAAAGUUCUUUGGAAUAGGACAUCAUAGAGGGUGAGAAUCCCGUAUUUGACCUUUACUUUCAACUUUGUGAUACACUUUCAAAGAGUCGGAUUGUUUGGGAAUGCAGUCCAAAAUGGGUGGUAAAUUUCAUCUAAAGCUAAAUAUUGGCGAGAGACCGAUAGCGAACAAGUACCGUGAGGGAAAGAUGAAAAGAACUUUGAAAAGAGAGUUAAACAGUACGUGAAAUUGUCAAAAGGGAAGCGUUUGACACCAGUGUUGUUUUUCUGAAAAUCAAUUAAAGAACUGUUUAUGCUAAGUUGUUUAGACUUUAUCAGCUAUCUGUUUAGUUUUGAGCUUUUCUUUAAUGCACUUUUCAGUUAACAAGUCAACAUCAAUUUCUUUUGCUGUAAAAAAGCUUGAGGAAGGUGGCUUGAGAUUCGUCUUAAGUGUUUAUAGCCUCUUGCCUAUGCAGUCGGAGAGAUUGAGGUCUGCAGCGUAGAUCCUUCGGGGCUAAAUGCAUUUGUGCUAAGUUAUAGCAUUUUAUAGACAACUUGUUGACUAUGAUUUGUCUUGUAGCUUACUCGCUUAUGUUAUUUUACCUACGCUUAGGAUGUUGAGCGCAUGUCUCUCUCU